UGCCCCAUGGCUGAGUUGGUUACAGCGUCCGACUGUUAUUCACGCUAGUAAGACAUCGGAAGGUCGUGAGUUCGAGCCUCACUGGGGCAG
This is a non-coding RNA of Paramarasmius palmivorus, 90 nucleotides long. Lineage: Eukaryota; Fungi; Basidiomycota; Agaricomycetes; Agaricales; Marasmiaceae. The record is from the annotation of a GenBank genome assembly.